GAGUUUAAUCUUGGCUCAGAUUGAACGCUGGCGGCAUGCCUUACACAUGCAAGUCGAACGGCAGCACGGGAGCUUGCCCCUGGUGGCGAGUGGCGAACGGGUGAGUAAUGCAUCGGAACGUAUCCUGGAGUGGGGGAUAACGUAGCGAAAGUUACGCUAAUACCGCAUAUUCUGUGAGCAGGAAAGCGGGGGACCUUCGGGCCUCGCGCUUUUGGAGCGGCCGAUGUCGGAUUAGCUAGUUGGUGAGGUAAAGGCUCACCAAGGCGACGAUCCGUAGCAGGUCUGAGAGGAUGAUCUGCCACACUGGAACUGAGACACGGUCCAGACUCCUACGGGAGGCAGCAGUGGGGAAUUUUGGACAAUGGGGGCAACCCUGAUCCAGCCAUGCCGCGUGAGUGAAGAAGGCCUCGG
RNAcentral lists this ribosomal RNA (411 nucleotides) under bacterium enrichment culture clone ALO1_GLFRUDD03HEB2L. Its description in RNAcentral is "bacterial SSU rRNA". It matches the Rfam family "Bacterial small subunit ribosomal RNA", at positions 9 to 420 of the family's 1533-position model. The record is from RNAcentral.